This is a long non-coding RNA of Hippocampus comes (tiger tail seahorse), 594 nucleotides long. RefSeq lists it as uncharacterized. Lineage: Eukaryota; Metazoa; Chordata; Actinopteri; Syngnathiformes; Syngnathidae. The record is from RefSeq and is a predicted model, not a curated record. The transcript is spliced from 5 exons.
CUGUCAGACUGGUGUGCGACUCACACUCUCAUUCCAGGAAACAAAGUGGAUUGAUGGCCACCUCACACACGCACACACACGCACACACACAUAAAUGCACGCAUACACACGCACAGACUUUCCUGGGUUUUUGGUUAAUUAGGUGGGUUUUCUCAAUGAAAAGAAGACACAAGCUGAGAUGAUCCUACCAAAGGCAGCCAGAUUCAUCAUUCUCCUCGUUCUGGCUGCAAACAUCUAUUGGGAGACUAAGGGUGACACUCAACCUUCGGAAUUGUUUACACAAGAUGGAAAAUACAGACAUCAAUCCCAGAAACAUGUCAGGGAGAAAAGAAUUGCCACGAGUGAAACAAGCUUACCAAAUUGUUCGACAGUAAAUUGCUCAACAAUAGAACUGAUCAUCUUAGUGGACGCUCCAAAUGACUCUGUGCCAAAAGAGUUCACUAAUCUACUGAGGGAUGCAGUGGAAAAUGUCACCUUACCGUUCAACGUCACGGAUGAUUUAUUGCUAACAGGCGUAAAUUUCAUCACAGCCUGCACCCAAAACUCUACCGGAGGACCUGAGUGUCAAUGUGAAGAUUCCUUCACUUGGUCAUG